CAGUCGCCACGGUAAUACGAAGGGGGCUAGCGUUGUUCGGAAUUACUGGGCGUAAAGGGCGCGUAGGCGGCCAUUCAAGUUAGAUGUGAAAGCCCUGGGCUCAACCUAGGAAUUGCAUUUGAUACUGUUUGGCUUGAGUUCGGGAGAGGUGAGUGGAAUUCCCAUUGUAGAGGUGAAAUUCGUAGAUAUUGGGAAGAACACCAGUGGCGAAGGCGGCUCACUGGACCGACACUGACGCUGAGGCGCGAAAGCGUGGGGAGCAAACAGGAUUAGAUACCCCCGUAGUCCCUGUCUCUUAUAC
Molecule: ribosomal RNA, 301 nt
Filed under: uncultured bacterium
Lineage: Bacteria
Description: partial 16S ribosomal RNA
Rfam family: Bacterial small subunit ribosomal RNA
Source: RNAcentral